GCCCCGGUGGCGCAUGGUGCGCGUCUGUGUAAACUAGAUAUCCUGAAUCAAAGCUUUGAUGCAGGAGAUGCCCGUUCGACUCGGGCCCGGGGCA
Non-coding RNA from Mycena rosella, 94 nucleotides. NCBI's taxonomy places the organism in Eukaryota, Fungi, Basidiomycota, Agaricomycetes, Agaricales, Mycenaceae. The record is from the annotation of a GenBank genome assembly.